UGUAUCAUCAUUCAUCCAUCAUUUUUCUGUUUCCAUCUACUAUACAGGAUUUUAUCCACUUUGCGGUGGAGCAAAUUUCAGGGGCAAUUACAGUAUAACCAUUUAUACUGUAAUCAUCCCAUACUCCAACAAUAAAUCCAUGCCCUGCUUAGAAAUUUAUUUUACGGAUUUUAUCUUCUUUGCAGUGCAGCAAGUUUCAGAGACAAUUCCAGUAAAGUCAAAUCUGACAAAACCAAGGGCUUGCUUUUUGGCUUUUCGAUUUAUGCAUCCUCUAGCCUGGUUGAAAAACUCAGACACUCGGUCCUCGGACACUCAGUUGCCAGUGCGAGCAUGAAUAGCAUCUUACAUUCUGUGCAUGAUCUGGGCUCUACCUUGGAUUUGCAUAGUUUUGUGCCAUUCAAGGACUCACUCGAUCCAUCCAUGCAGAGUUCUCACAUGAGGGUCUUGUGGCAUCCCCUGCCUGUACAUAAAUCUGGAUUCCAUCCUGGAACUAUACAUUUUUGCACACUUGUAGUACUCACUCCAACACUUGUAGGAUUCCUACCAGUGUUAUAGAUUUGAUGUAGGAGCUCUACAAGUUUCAUUACAAGGAAAUGGAUCAUAAUUACUACAGCAACAUGAAGUUUCACAAAUUCAUCAUGUGACCUUUUGAAGUUGUGCUGAAUCUCAUAAAAAAUUCUGAAGUUUUCUUAAUAUAGUUUGUUCUGGGAACUACCAGCAAUGAUUUACACGCUGCAAAGCUGCUUACGUGCAAACUAACCUCACUUACUAAAGGGUGAUGCUUUGUAAAUCAACCCGGGUAAACGGCGUGGUCCUGUCGGUCCAGGCAUACCUGGUAAGCAAGUUGUCAUGACAUAAUUAAGUUCAGUCCAGCUGAAGAAAUGCUGGAGAUCUCAAUCUGUAUCUUCCAUUCUGUCCAUAAUCUGGACUCUCUAUCUUGGAGUUGUACAUUUUUCUACCCUUGUAACACUCAGUCCAUCCAUGCAUGAUGCAUAGUUCUCACAUGACGGUCUUGUGUGAUGUUCUUCAUGCACAUACAUCUGGUGUUCUUAUCUUCGCUUUGCUAUGCAUCAAAAUACUUCACUUAAAGCUUCGUGGUCAUCCAUGAGGACAUGGUGGUGUGCUUGCUAGUUCAGGACUAAAUGUGCUCUCGCAGAUGGUUUUCGAGUUCACUAUGCUUCCACAACCUUUUCAUAAGUUUACAUUUUCAGGUUUGCAUUUCAUUGUGACAAGAUGUUCUCCAAGCCGAUCAUCCUUUUAUCUUAUGUUGCUAGCCUCAUCGGUACUUGGCAUUGCAUUUCCUACAUUGGGAUCUAGCAUACUCCGCCGGUACAUCCGAACCCCUUGUGGAGUUUCUCACUAAAAAGAGUGAGAUGUGAGAGGUAAGAAACCAAGGUUGAUAGAACAGUUGAAUCAACCAUGAGAGAAAAAAAAGGUCAACAAGUAAAAUUACCCCCAAAGAAUAGAAGAAAAAAAGAGAGAAACUCCCGUUAAGCCACUUCAGUUUUCCAAUGAGUCCACCAUAUCUACCUAUCAUAGCAACUCCUCAUUUGAUAUUCCAAGUAGUGGAUUCUUUUGCCAUGCACAUUCAUAUUUUGCUUUGCACAUCUUUUAAGGAGGAAUAUUAGCCAUCAUUAUUAGCCCUUGUUGAAACUUGCCAACCAUUUUUGCUUUUAUUUUCAUUUAUUAGAGCUCUUGUUGGCACCUUUCAAGCUUUUGUAGGGCAGAGAAAAGGAAAGAAAAAAGAAAAAAAAAGGAAAAAGGAAAAAAGAAAAAGAAAAAAGGAAAAAAGAAAGAAGUAAAGAAGAACAAGAUAGGUGCCAUGUUUUCUCUCUAUCAAGCUCUUGGUCUUAAUUUAUAGCGAGAUGAGUCUUAUUUCUUAGGCUUAUACUUUCUCACUUUUCAUACCACCCAUUUAUUCAUCAUGUAGAGCUUAGCACUCAUAGCUAAUUCCAUUCAUCAUCAUGUAGUGGGAUGGUUUAUUUGCAUAUAUGCUUCCUAGGACUUCAUGUACAUAUCACUUCAUAUCCAUUGUGCAUACCUUGGAAAAUCCCUACUUCCCAUGCAACAUCGAAACCGAGGACAUUACACAUGCCUUGGGGUCACUCUGCGUUACAUGGGCCUAUCUUUUCCUUGUCGAGUCACUCCCAUCCUUUCACGUCAUUUUCUAACUAAUGAUCGGAAACACGAGGCAUCUUGGUUCAUGAUGACUGCUUACUUGACUAUGUGAUCCAUGCUUCCCAAGACAUGAAUUGGGAGCUCAAGAUGGGUUGAAUCCUUGGAAUGAUCUUGCCUGGAAGACUUUGUAUCAUGGAGCAUCCAUUUUAGUAUAUGGUACUAGAGCUACAGUUUUGAAGGAACACUAAAGAGUCAACUUCCUUAAGGUCCACAAUGCUGAUCACUUGACCAUUUCCCCCUGCCACACGAGCUGUGAGGAGGGCAAUAUGUCGAGGGAGGAGGGCAAGAUGUCGAGGGCGAUGAAAACCUACUCUCUGAGAAUCUCCUCCGCCUCCUCCAGCAGCCGUCCUCACUCCCCCGUGCCUCCCUCAUCUGCAAGCGCCAACAUCGCAUCGUAUCCAACAUCCACUUUUUAUGCCGCUUUCACUCACACCACCGCUAUAGCGCUCCCCUCCU
Triticum urartu is the source of this 2634-nucleotide non-coding RNA. Lineage: Eukaryota; Viridiplantae; Streptophyta; Magnoliopsida; Poales; Poaceae. The record is from RefSeq and is a predicted model, not a curated record.